Molecule: long non-coding RNA, 826 nt
Filed under: Homo sapiens (human)
Lineage: Eukaryota; Metazoa; Chordata; Mammalia; Primates; Hominidae
Description: long intergenic non-protein coding RNA 3064
Source: RNAcentral
GGGAUUCUCAAACUUCCUCCCACCUCACAUCCUUUUAAGGCAAGUGAGUGUGGGAACUCUGGUUCAGGGAAGUUAAAUCACUUGCCUAAGGUCAUGCAGAUCAUUAAUGCCAUAGCCAAGACCUGAGCACGUUCUCCUAAAGCCAGGUCAGGCCUCUUGUCACAUACUCCAUUGACUCUAGUGCCUAACCCAUGCUCAUCACAGAGCUCACAUUGGAACCAUUGUUAAACAGACUCUAAUGGAAAUGACUUCGUUCAGCUGGUGAACAUUUUGGAAGAUUCCAGAAAAACAUGAACAAGUGUUUGAGUGCUCUUAAGGGGAUUGUCUAAUAUCUUGGCUCCUGACUCAUCCUUAGAAGUCUUCCAGCCACCUUGUACCCAUUUCAAGCCCAAGGGCUCUUUAACGUAAAUGAGUUACUGAGCAGGCUCCUAAUACUACUACCUGUGUUACCUGCAGAAAAGAACAGAGAAAGAUCCAGUGCAAAAACUCAUAGGAAAUGAUCAAUUCAUGCCAAGUGAUGAGAACUAGAGAAGAGAGAUGAGAGCAUUGUUCAUACACGAUGGUCUAGGUCUCCUACCCCAAGAGAACUUGCAACAAAGCCCAAAGUACAACAGCCACGUUUAAAGAGAAGAUUCCAUUUCAGCCAGACAACAUGAUUCAUCAUAUUUAUUUAAUAUUGUUAAUUUGAAUUUUAUUAGAUCUGUACUGAUGUUUGUAUUUAAUUUCUAAUUUGUUUUGGUUUCAUAAUUCACUAAAACAAUAAGCACAAAGAGUUUCUAUCUGACUUUAUAUAUUAACAUUUUAAUAAAAGUCUUUUAUAUACUCA